CAAUGCUCAAAUUAGGCUGCUCUUUUCCAUUCACUAGUUUUUUUGAGCCUCGCGCGACGCGCGAGGUUGCCCCCAGUUUGUGUUAAUCAAAAUUAAUGAUGGCGAGUAAUUUAGUGUAAAACACUUGCAUACUUAAUAAUUAUGAUGUGAGAGAAUCCUUUUCCUGGUUUAUUAUGUCAUACUCAAUACACCAGGGUGGCUGAUAUAUGAAUUGAUAUCACCUGUUAUCCUCGUCAUUCACAUAUGUUAAAUGCACUUGUAGCCAUAAUACAUACACCUUGAUAUCUACCACAGUCAUGCUUAGCACUUGGACUGGCACGUUGCUCACAUCUCUUUCUAAUCCUUUCUUCAUAAGCUUUUUCUAAGCUUACAUAUUUUCAUCGGCUACCCAUUUAGAAAAGCUCAACUAUACAUAUGUAAAAAGGUUUCAGUAAGAAUGCAUAACCAACUAAAUUAUUAGCACAAACACAAUAAAUAAAUAAAUAAAUAAUAAUGUUUGUACCUCCAAUAUGCUAUCAAGAAUUAAUAACAUCCUUCAGUGAACCAUUGCGCUGAUUUGAACGCUGAUUUGAACGCUCUGACUCAUUAGGCCUUUCUUUACAAGGACAAAAUCACGAAAAGGCAAAAUAAAGCAAAGAGCUCACCUUGCAAAAUUAGGAAAGGGAGCUUUCAAUUGGAAGAAGAAGUUGGCCCCGAGACAAUGGUCCACACAAAUGGAGGCAAAAGUUCAUGUAAAGAACACAAAUCAAAGCAUGCACCACAUAAAUAGAGAAUCAUCCGAAACUCAAAUCAUCGGAAUAAAACAAGAGAUCUUAUUAGCCUUUGCUAACUUGGAAAUCUAAAAUCAAAACAUCAAAUCACCAAACAAAGGUGAGUAAGAAAACAGAACUUAAAAAAUAAAAAACAGAAUGAAAUAUGAACACAGAGCAGAAAUUAGCCGCUACAGAACAUUUAUAACCAAGAAGUGACCAGCCCUAUUCAAUAGCAUCAUCAUCCUAAUUCCCAAGUCAUACCCUUUGCUAAAAACUCUUUUAAGUCAUGCAUUUUCUAACUAUGAUUGUAUUGCUUUUGACUCUAAAGACAGUAAAUGUUCCAACUUGUCUAAGGCUACAAAAAUAUGUUAAUGAUGGUAAACUUGACUUAAAACAAAUACGUUCCCUCCAAUAUGAGUUCUCUCUAUCUUGGUUCUAAACGUGGUAAACUUGGUUUAAAACAAAUAAGCUCUCUCUAUCUGCAACCCUUAGAACACCUAGUUUAAGUAUGCAACAUUUUAUCUUAAUUAAAUUCAGAAAGUUGAAUAUGGCUUUAAGGCAUUUUACAAAUAGGUUUUGGGCACUAAUUAGGAUGGAGAAAAAUACUACAGAGAGUAAACAGAGCAGAAAUUAGCUGUUAUGGAACAUUUAUAACCAAGAGGUGACAAUCGCAACUGUAUUUGAUUGAAUUCAACUUUUCAUCCAUUCACAAUAUUCAUCAUUUUCCAUGAUUAAUGAUUCUAGAGAAUGAAAUGUUUGAAAUGAGAAUGAGUUCUUCAAUUGUUUAAGUUGCUCCUGAGAUGAGUAUGUGUUCUGUGUUUGUUUCAUGGAUACCCAAUUAAUUGGAGAACAAGAUUAGAUAACCCAAAAAAUGAAGAAACUUCACCGUGCUUUUCGGAUGACAAAAUUUUGCCACCACAAUAGUGGUGGCGAACUCUGCUCGGCAAACAAUAGCUCAUCCCUAUUCCUCGAACAAGACCCUGCCUCUCAUUUUUUUCUCUUUUUUUUUUGUUAAUUUGGUUUGAAGAGACAAAAUAUGCAAGGGAAAAAGAAAUCACGCAAAAGUGGGGAAAUCCAAUUGUUUUAAAUUCAAGAGUUAGCUACUUGCAUGAAAUUAUUAUUCUAAAUUCAAGAGUUAGCUACUUGCGUGAAAUUUCAUAAGUGACUUGGCACAAAAACUGCCUUCCUUUCCUGGAAAAAAAAAAAGAGAACCAAAAAUUAUACAUUUAACCCAUCAAUCAUGCUGAACGCUCAUCUGAAGUGGCCUGAAUUUAACAUCAAAGAAUCUUUGGAACUAAUUUCACUACCAUGGCAUAUUUCGACAAUCUAAGCUUGCUCAGACUCAAAAAAAAAAAGUAUAGCUAAUUGUCAAAAAAAAAUACAUCAUCUUUUCUUAGCUUUACAUUGCAUAAAUUCAGGGCUAACAAGUUCAUAUUGUUAGACCACCAUUCAUUUAUUGAAGUUAGGAAUAACACCUAGACCAACUGUAAUAACCUCUCAAUAUGUUUAGAAAAUCACCUAUAUUUUUCUUGUUACUUGGUUUUGGAUAGAAAAGUUAGUUGUAAUGCCUCUGGAAUACAAAUACCUUAAUGUAAUUCCUUUAUAAUAGUUUGUCUGUUGACAACCUAAUUAAACUCAUUCAAAAAAAAAAUUGAACUUGCAAAUUUGGUGUUCAACACCUUUUAAUUUGAUUAGUUUCCUGCGUAAUUUCUAAUGUUUUAAAUCUCAAAUAUAGAAAAUGAAUUGGAUAUAUUCAUAGGCUAGAUUACAAACUACAUUAGCUAAACCCACAAAGUAAAAUAGGAAAAGGAUAAAACACAUACACACACACAAACACAAAGUGAAACAGAAAGUAUGAAAUGCCUGGCCGUGUCUUACUCUUACACAAGGAAAAUUAAAGAAAGAAAAAGAGAAAAAUAGCAUCCAAUUGGCCUUCCAUUUAUUCCUUUCUGUUCUGUAGUUUUUUUGGUUCUUUUUGGAAACUUAUUAGUUUAUAAUGGAUUAAACUAUACAGAUAUUAUAAUAAGAAAAGGUUAUAGGAACUGCAAAACCUGUUAGGUGCGGUUUAUGAGAAGAAAAAUCAAUUGCUCCAAUACAUUAUAAAUGAGGUGUUAAAAAAAAUGACAAAUUAAUGCUCCACCAGUUUUGAUAUCAAAGAAGUUGUUGCUCAAUAUAAACGUCUACAUCUGGCUACGUCAAUUUUGCAACAGUUUGCCAACUUGUUACAAAAGAUUUGAAAGGUAUUUUAUUUUCAACAGAAUCUAAAACCAAAUGAAUAUUUCGAAGUGGUUAAACAAAAUGCUCAUGGGUUUGGUUGCCAAUUCAUGUACUAAUCACAAAUCAAGAACUACUUGGUUUCUAUCCAAGUGGACAUUUUCAUUGGCUUGGGUAUUAAGCAUCGAAAGUCUCUUACUUAUUUUCUUUAUUCAUAACCGUUGACAAUGACACCAGUUUUUUCGCUCUGCAAUUUUCAAAUUUACGUGAACCAUAUAAUGUACUAUGUAAACACAGGAAGGGAACCAUAAUGUCAUAACAAAUUACAAAAAACAAAAAAACAAGCAAAUACCAUAUCACAAUCGAAACAUGCAUUGAUGAAAUUACAUUAAACCAAUCCAAAACAUCAAACAAUUUUCUGAAACGGAGAAAAACUAACACACAAUAAUUGUAGAUGUUAAAUGAGGACAUAUAGCGAAUAUAUGGUGUGCACGUCAAAUAAGUUUGAAUGACCUGUCUAAAAAUACAGCCCUUAAUCAUAAAACAAAAGACAUCAGCACAACAAACAAAUCACAUCAAUGCGACUUUCAAUUAUGAUCAGCAAAUUGAUAAACUCAAAACCGAUAAGCUAAUAGACAUAGAGUGAAAAGUUCACCUUUCAAAACCAUCGAAACUUCACAAUGCUCUUCUGGUGAAGAAAUUCAACGACAAUGGCUAUGGCAGUGGCGGUGGUGGAUUCCGGUCAACAGGCAAUGACUCCUCCGUGCUCCUCGGACUCCCUUUUUUGUGGCUUUGCUAUUACUUUCCCCUUCUUCUCUAUUUCUUGUUUGCUUGUAAUGGGAUGGAGUUAGAAAACUUGUAUGCGUUUUUAGUGAUGUGCAUCAAUGAUUCUUGGAGAUGAAAUCUUUGAGAUAACAGUAGUGGCUUCUUCAUAAUUUUAGCAGUUAAAAAACAAUAAACUGCUGCAUUAGUUAACCCAAACUGAAAGAAAACAUGCGUCAAAAAUGAAUGGUAACGAGGUUUCUACCAACCGCUUCCUACCCCUCCAAGAAGUACUCCUGUCCAACUAACAAAACCAAAUGCCCUCAAAGAACAACAAUGAAGGACUCACUCUUGCAGCUACCAAAGAACGCUG
RNAcentral lists this long non-coding RNA (4101 nucleotides) under Coffea arabica (coffee). RNAcentral's name for it is "long non-coding RNA (CARA_LNC007478)". Lineage: Eukaryota; Viridiplantae; Streptophyta; Magnoliopsida; Gentianales; Rubiaceae. The record is from RNAcentral.